UCGAACGCGACUGUGGCUUCGGUUACAGUUGAGUGGCGAACGGGUGAGUAACACGUGGGUGACCUACCUUCGAAUGGGGGAUAACGUCCCGAAAGGGACGCUAAUACCGCAUAACAUCCUGCCUUUGAACAGGCGGAGAUCAAAGCCGGGGAUCGCAAGACCUGGCGUUUGAAGAGGGGCCCGCGUCCGAUUAGCUAGUUGGUGAGGUAACGGCUCACCAAGGCGACGAUCGGUAGCCGGCCUGAGAGGGCGGACGGCCACACUGGGACUGAGACACGGCCCAGACUCC
This 289-nucleotide ribosomal RNA is filed under the name unidentified marine bacterioplankton. RNAcentral describes it as "partial 16S ribosomal RNA". It matches the Rfam family "Bacterial small subunit ribosomal RNA", at positions 62 to 339 of the family's 1533-position model. The record is from RNAcentral. RNAcentral also lists the same sequence under 1 other name.